UCAAGUUAUUAAGGGUGCAGGGCGGAUGCCUUGGCACUAGGAGCCGAUGAAGGACGUGAUAAGCUGCGAUAAGCUUCGGGGAGUUGCACGUAAACUUUGAUCCGAAGAUUUCCGAAUGAGGAAACUCACUUAGAGUAAUGUCUAAGUAUCAUUAAGUGAAUACAUAGCUUAAUGAGGGGAACUCAGGGAACUGAAACAUCUAAGUACCUGAAGGAAGAGAAAGAAAUUCGAUUCCGUAAGUAGCGGCGAGCGAACGCGGAUUAGCCCAAACCAAUAAAGUUUUCUUUAUUGGGGUUGCGGACAUAUCAUAACGAAGAGGUAUCGUAAUUGAAGAGGUUUGGAAAGACCCACCACAGAAGGUAAUAGUCCUGUAUGUUAAACGAGAAGACUUCAGAUAUGAUCCAGAGUACCACGGGACACGUGAAACCCUGUGGGAAGCAGGAGGGACCACCCUCCAAGGCUAAAUACUACCUAGUGACCGAUAGCGUAUAGUACCGUGAGGGAAAGGUGAAAAGAACCCCGGGAGGGGAGUGAAAUAGAACCUGAAACCCUGCACUUACAAGCUGUGGAAGCACAUUUCUUGUGUGACCGCGUACUUUUUGUAGAACGGGCCAACGAGUUACGUUAAGUAGCAAGGUUAAGCACUUAAGGUGCGGAGCCGUAGCGAAAGCGAGUUUUAACUGAGCGUUCAGUUACUUGACGUAGACCCGAAACCGGGCGACCUACCCAUGAGCAGGAUGAAGCGAAAGUAAAAUUUCGUGGAGGUCCGAACCCACGAGCGUUGAAAAGCUCGGGGAUGACUUGUGGGUAGCGGUGAAAUUCCAAUCGAGCCCGGAGAUAGCUGGUUCUCCCCGAAAUAGCUUUAGGGCUAGCCUCAAGGUGAGAGAUACGGAGGUAGAGCACUGAAUGUCCUAGGGGGUAUUGCACCUACCGAAGACUAUCAAACUCCGAAUGCCGUCAUCUUAUACUUGGGAGUCAGACUGUGGGUGAUAAGAUUCAUAGUCGAAAGGGCAACAGCCCAGAUCGUCAGCUAAGGUCCCUAAAUGUAAGUUAAGUGGUAAAGGAUGUGGGAUUGCACAGACAACCAGGAUGUUGGCUUAGAAGCAGCCACUCAUUCAAAGAGUGCGUAAUAGCUCACUGGUCGAGUGAUCCUGCGCCGAAGAUUUCCGGGGCUAAAACUUACUACCGAAGCUACGGCAUCAUUAUGAUGGGUAGGGGAGCUUCCCAUACGGGUUGAAGCAUGACCGUAAGGACAUGUGGACAGUAUGGGAGUGAGAAUGUUGGCAUGAGUAGCGAGAUGUGGGUGAGAAUCCCACAGGCCGUAAACCCAAGGUUUCCAGGGGAAGGUUCGUCCGCCCUGGGUUAGUCGGGACCUAAGCUGAGGCCGAAAGGCGUAGGUGAUGGACAACAGGUUGAUAUUCCUGUACUACCGAUAACCGUUUGAGAGAAGGGAUGACACAGUAGGAUAAGCUAAGCACACUGUUGGUUAUGUGUGCCCAAGCAUUGAGGCAGUCAAAGCAGGCAAAUCCGCUUUGAUAAUGCUGGGAUGUGAUGGGGAGCGAAAUUUAGUAGCGAAGUAGCUGAUUUCACACUGUCAAGAAAAGUCUCUAUCGAGGUUAAAGGUACCCGUACCGCAAACCGACACAGGUGGGUGAGGAGAGUAUCCUAAGGCCAGCGAGAGAACUGUUGUUAAGGAACUCGGCAAAAUGACCCCGUAACUUAGGGAUAAGGGGUGCCACCAUCCGGUGGCCGCAGAGAAUAGGCCCAAGCGACUGUUUACCAAAAACAUAGGUUUCUGCUAAGUCGCAAGACGAUGUAUAGGAGCUGACGCCUGCCCGGUGCUGGAAGGUUAAGGGGAUCUGUUAGAGCAAUCGAAGCAGUGAACUUAAGCCCCAGUAAACGGCGGCCGUAACUAUAACGGUCCUAAGGUAGCGAAAUUCCUUGUCGGGUAAGUUCCGACCCGCACGAAAGGCGUAACGAUUUGGGCACUGUCUCAACAACAGACUCGGUGAAAUUGUAAUUCCGGUGAAGAUGCCGGAUACCUGCGACAGGACGGAAAGACCCCAUGGAGCUUUACUGUAGCUUGACAUUGGGUCUUGGUACUACAUGUACAGGAUAGGUGGGAGGCUUUGAAACCAGGACGCCAGUUUUGGCGGAGCCAUCCUUGGGAUACCACCCUUGUAGUACUGGGACUCUAACCAUAGGCCAUGAAUCUGGUCUUGGGACACUGUCAGGUGGGCAGUUUGACUGGGGCGGUCGCCUCCCAAAAGGUAACGGAGGCGCUCAAAGGUUCUCUCAGUACGGUCGGAAAUCGUACGUAGAGUGUAAAGGCAAAAGAGAGCUUGAUUGCAAGACAUACAGGUCGAGCAAGGAUGAAAAUCGGACUUAGUGAUCCGGUGGUUCUGCGUGGAAGGGCCAUCGCUCAACGGAUAAAAGCUACCCUGGGGAUAACAGGCUUAUCUCCCCCAAGAGUCCACAUCGACGGGGAGGUUUGGCACCUCGAUGUCGGCUCAUCACAUCCUGGGGCUGUAGUAGGUCCCAAGGGUUGGGCUGUUCGCCCAUUAAAGUGGUACGCGAGCUGGGUUCAGAACGUCGUGAGACAGUUCGGUCCCUAUCCGUCGCAGGCGUAGGAAAUUUGAGAAGACCUGUCCUUAGUACGAGAGGACCGGGAUGGACGUACCUCUGGUGUACCAGUUGUUCUGCCAAGGGCAUGGCUGGGUAGCUAUGUACGGAAUGGAUAAGCGCUGAAAGCAUCUAAGCGCGAAGCCAACUUCAAGAUAAGAUUUCCCACCGUAAGGGUAAGACCCCAGAAAGACUAUCUGGUUGAUAGGUCGAAGGUGUAAGUGCAGCAAUGUAUUUAGCUUAUCGAUACUAAUAGGUCGAGGACUUGACCAA
Molecule: ribosomal RNA, 2895 nt
Filed under: Clostridioides difficile
Lineage: Bacteria; Bacillati; Bacillota; Clostridia; Peptostreptococcales; Peptostreptococcaceae
Description: bacterial LSU rRNA
Rfam family: Bacterial large subunit ribosomal RNA
Source: RNAcentral